UUACUGGAGUUUCCUGGACAGUGUGGUC
Molecule: non-coding RNA, 28 nt
Filed under: Mus musculus (house mouse)
Lineage: Eukaryota; Metazoa; Chordata; Mammalia; Rodentia; Muridae
Source: RNAcentral